GACGAACGCUGGCGGCGUGCUUAACACAUGCAAGUCGAACGGAAAGGCCCUGCUUUUGUGGGGUGCUCGAGUGGCGAACGGGUGAGUAACACGUGAGUAACCUGCCCUUGACUUUGGGAUAACUUCAGGAAACUGGGGCUAAUACCGGAUAGGAGCUCCUGCUGCAUGGUGGGGGUUGGAAAGUUUCGGCGGUUGAGGAUGGACUCGCGGCUUAUCAGCUUGUUGGUGGGGUAGUGGCUUACCAAGGCUUUGACGGGUAGCCGGCCUGAGAGGGUGACCGGCCACAUUGGGACUGAGAUACGGCCCAGACUCCUACGGGAGGCAGCAGUGGGGAAUAUUGCACAAUGGGCGGAAGCCUGAUGCAGCAACGCCGCGUGCGGGAUGACGGCCUUCGGGUUGUAAACCGCUUUCGCCUGUGACGAAGCGUGAGUGACGGUAAUGGGUAAAGAAGCACCGGCUAACUACGUGCCAGCAGCCGCGGUGAUACGUAGGGUGCGAGCGUUGUCCGGAUUUAUUGGGCGUAAAGGGCUCGUAGGUGGUUGAUCGCGUCGGAAGUGUAAUCUUGGGGCUUAACCCUGAGCGUGCUUUCGAUACGGGUUGACUUGAGGAAGGUAGGGGAGAAUGGAAUUCCUGGUGGAGCGGUGGAAUGCGCAGAUAUCAGGAGGAACACCAGUGGCGAAGGCGGUUCUCUGGGCCUUUCCUGACGCUGAGGAGCGAAAGCGUGGGGAGCGAACAGGCUUAGAUACCCUGGUAGUCCACGCUGUAAACGGUGGGUACUAGGUGUGGGGUCCAUUCCACGGGUUCCGUGCCGUAGCUAACGCUUUAAGUACCCCGCCUGGGGAGUACGGCCGCAAGGCUAAAACUCAAAGGAAUUGACGGGGCCCCGCACAAGCGGCGGAGCAUGCGGAUUAAUUCGAUGCAACGCGUAGAACCUUACCUGGGUUUGACAUGGAUCGGGAGUGCUCAGAGAUGGGUGUGCCUCUUUUGGGGUCGGUUCACAGGUGGUGCAUGGCUGUCGUCAGCUCGUGUCGUGAGAUGUUGGGUUAAGUCCCGCAACGAGCGCAACCCUUGUUCACUGUUGCCAGCACGUUAUGGUGGGGACUCAGUGGAGACCGCCGGGGUCAACUCGGAGGAAGGUGGGGAUGACGUCAAGUCAUCAUGCCCCUUAUGUCCAGGGCUUCACGCAUGCUACAAUGGCUGGUACAGAGAGUGGCGAGCCUGUGAGGGUGAGCGAAUCUCGGAAAGCCGGUCUCAGUUCGGAUUGGGGUCUGCAACUCGACCUCAUGAAGUCGGAGUCGCUAGUAAUCGCAGAUCAGCAACGCUGCGGUGAAUACGUUCCCGGG
Molecule: ribosomal RNA, 1343 nt
Filed under: uncultured bacterium
Lineage: Bacteria
Description: 16S ribosomal RNA
Rfam family: Bacterial small subunit ribosomal RNA
Source: RNAcentral